RNAcentral lists this ribosomal RNA (430 nucleotides) under Pseudomonadota bacterium. RNAcentral's name for it is "Proteobacteria bacterium partial 16S ribosomal RNA". It matches the Rfam family "Bacterial small subunit ribosomal RNA", at positions 355 to 776 of the family's 1533-position model. Lineage: Bacteria; Pseudomonadati; Pseudomonadota. The record is from RNAcentral.
UGGGGAAUAUUGGACAAUGGGGGGAACCCUGAUCCAGCCAUGCCGCGUGUGUGAAGAAUUCCUUAUGGUUGUAAAGCACUUUAAGCGAGGAGGAGGGUACUGGUAUUAAUACUACCAGGUACUGGACGUUACUCGCAGAAUAAGCACCGUCUAACUCUGUGCCAGCAGCCGCGGUAAUACAGAGGGUGCAAGCGUUAAUCGGAAUUACUGUGCGUAACGCGCGCGUAGGUGGUUCGUUAAGUUGAAUGUGAGAGCGCCGGGCUAAACCUGGGAACUGAAUCCAAGACUGGCGAGCUAGAGGAGGGCAGAGGGUGGUGGAAUUUCCUGUGUAGCGGUGAAAGGAGUAGAUAUAGGAAGGAAAAACAGUGGCGAAGGAGACAACCUGGGCUCAUACUGACACUGAGGUGCGAAAGCGUGGGGAGCAAACAGG